This 443-nucleotide ribosomal RNA is filed under the name uncultured bacterium. RNAcentral's name for it is "partial 16S ribosomal RNA". It matches the Rfam family "Bacterial small subunit ribosomal RNA", at positions 338 to 795 of the family's 1533-position model. The record is from RNAcentral.
CCUACGGGAGGCAGCAGUGGGGAAUAUUGGGCAAUGGGCGCAAGCCUGACCCAGCAACGCCGCGUGAAGGAUGAAGGCUUUCGGGUUGUAAACUUCUUUUUUCAGGGACGUAGCAAGUGACGGUACUUGAGGAUUAAGCCACGUCUAACUACGUGCCAGCAGUCGCUGUAAGACGUAGGUGGCAAGCGUUAUCCGGAUUUACUGGGUGUAAAGGGCGUGUAGGCGUGACUGGAAGUCAGAUGUGAAAACCACGGGCUCAACCCGUGGCCUGCAUUUGAAACUGUAGUUCUUGAGUACUGGAGAGGCAGACGGAAUUCCUAGUGUAGCGGUGAAAUGCGUAGAUAUUAGGCGGAACACCAGUGGCGAAGGCGGUCUGCUGGACAGCAACUGACGCUGAGGCGCGAAAGCGUGGGGAGCAAACAGGAUUAGAUACCCUUGUAGUC